CCUACGGGAGGCAGCAGUGAGGAAUAUUGGUCAAUGGGCGGGAGCCUGAACCAGCCAAGUCGCGUGAGGGAAGACGGUCCUAUGGAUUGUAAACCUCUUUAGGCGGGGAGCAAUGCCGGGCACACGUGUCCGGCUGUGAGAGUACCCGAAGAAAAAGCAUCGGCUAACUCCGUGCCAGCAGCCGCGGGAAUACGGAGGAUGCGAGCGUUAUUCGGAUUUAUUGGGUUUAAAGGGUGCGCAGGCGGAUUUUUAAGUCAGCGGUCAAAUCGUGGGGCUCAACCCCAUCCAGCCGUUGAAACUGGGGAUCUAGAGUGUGCGAGAGGUAUGCGGAAUGCGUGGUGUAGCGGUGAAAUGCAUAGAUAUCACGCAGAACCCCGAUUGCGAAGGCAGCAUACCGGUGCACAACUGACGCUCAGGCACGAAAGCGUGGGUAUCGAACAGGAUUAGAUACCCGAGUAGUC
This 461-nucleotide ribosomal RNA is filed under the name uncultured bacterium. Its description in RNAcentral is "partial 16S ribosomal RNA". It matches the Rfam family "Bacterial small subunit ribosomal RNA", at positions 338 to 795 of the family's 1533-position model. The record is from RNAcentral.